GACGAACGCUGGCGGCGUGCUUAACACAUGCAAGUCGAACGGAAAGGCCCUGCUUGCAGGGUACUCGAGUGGCGAACGGGUGAGUAACACGUGGGUGAUCUGCCCUGCACUUCGGGAUAAGCUUGGGAAACUGGGUCUAAUACCGGAUAGGAGCCAUCUUUAGUGUGGUGGUUGGAAAGUUUUUUCGGUGUAGGAUGAGCUCGCGGCCUAUCAGCUUGUUGGUGGGGUAAUGGCCUACCAAGGCGGCGACGGGUAGCCGGCCUGAGAGGGUGUACGGCCACAUUGGGACUGAGAUACGGCCCAGACUCCUACGGGAGGCAGCAGUGGGGAAUAUUGCACAAUGGGCGCAAGCCUGAUGCAGCGACGCCGCGUGGGGGAUGAAGGCCUUCGGGUUGUAAACUCCUUUCGCUAGGGACGAAGCUUUGUUGUGACGGUACCUAGAUAAGAAGCACCCGCUAACUACGUG
Molecule: ribosomal RNA, 466 nt
Filed under: uncultured bacterium
Lineage: Bacteria
Description: partial 16S ribosomal RNA
Rfam family: Bacterial small subunit ribosomal RNA
Source: RNAcentral